Drosophila nasuta is the source of this 744-nucleotide long non-coding RNA. RefSeq lists it as uncharacterized. Lineage: Eukaryota; Metazoa; Arthropoda; Insecta; Diptera; Drosophilidae. The transcript is spliced from 5 exons. The record is from RefSeq and is a predicted model, not a curated record.
UCUCAUCAUGGCUAACAUGUAGCCAUCGCGCGGCUGCCCCGCUUGUCUCGUCUGGGAUCUGCGCCGAAUUGGAGCGUCGUCUGUGUUCGCAUUGUUGGAUGAACAAUGCGAGUGUAUUGCACUUUCCGUUGGUGGUAAUGUGAGGCAGCAAGUCAUCUGGCUGCGUGUAGUGGCCACCACUACAGUGUGUGCAGUGAUACCGUGGGAUGUGAGGCAGCGAAUCAUCUGCCCCAGGUUGGUUGCUGCAUAUGGUGAUGCGUGUAGUGAUGUUGUCGCCGUCUCUGAGAGUGAGCAAGCGAGCUGCACUUGCCCGUUGGUGGAUUUGUGAUGCAGCAAGUCGUCUUCCCCAGGUUGGUUGCUGCGUGAAGUGGUGCGUGCGGUGUACAUCGCCGCCAUCUAUGUGAGUGGGCUGGGCACUGCGCCACAAGUGCUUCGUGGGACAGUGUACGUGCAUCAGUUUUAUAUGUGAGUGGAUUGCGGGGUCAGUUGCCGAUGGCCUUUUGUUGCCAAGCGAGAAGUCUGUUGCUCCAUCUGUAGCCAAAAUGUAACAGGACAAUCGGUGGUGACUGGAGAAAUGCUUCCUUGAAUGGCUGGAGUGUUAGGUGCUUAACUUCCGCGCGUACGAGAGUGGCAGUGCCACAUUUUCUGUGCGAAUGUGGAUAGAUUGCAGCAUACGUUUUGGAUUCUGACUCAUUUAAGGUAUAUGGAUUGGCUGUAGUACUAGUUUCGAUUGUCAUCUUAAUA